GCCCCUUCCCUCUUGCUCCAAACCGCCACCGGGCGGCCACCCACCCUCCCAACGCCCCUCCCCGUCAGCGCCCCACCUCCCGACGCCCCUCCCCACACGGCGCCCCUCCCUCCCAACGCGCCCCACCCUCCUGAUGCCCCUCCCCACCGGCACCGCCAGCGCCGCCUCCCGCUCGGCCCCGCCCGGCGAGUCGCGUAGGAGGGAAGCGCCACCGGCAGUGGCCGCGGCGAGAUGAGUGGCGGGGGAGGCGGCUGCGGCGGCGCUCAGCCGCGAGCGCGGUGUUCUACACGUAGAAGAACCAGCCACGGGCAAGCAGGGAGGGAAUCGCUUCUCCUCGCCGACCGUCUCCCGCGCCUCCUUCCAUCGCCUAUGCGCCUCACCGGUCUCUGCCCUCCCCUUCACCGUUGCGGCACCUCACCGGACGUGGCCGAACCCGGACCAGAUCCACUCGUCGCGGAAGGAGGGCUGGCACGACCACCCGACCUGGCGUCGGCGUAAGAUAAAAUCAUGGUGUUGCAUUUCCAUGGAAUUGGAGUUAAUUCUGUUUAUGUGUUUGCUCUUGAUUUGGGGACGUUUGCUAGCCAUGGCAUUCAGCCUUCUCUGUCCAUCACGCUCGCAGGACUACCUUCUCAGUCGUAUGCUACAGGCUCAAUAGGGAUAAUUGAAAAAGGAGCUCCAGCCUCCAGGCAAUGGCGUUCUAUGGCGGUGUGUGCAAUAUUCUAAUUGCUAAGGUCAAUAUUCUAAUUGCUAGGGUCAAUAUUCCGACGGACCUAAGCCACACCGCUCGCCUCACCUCACCGGCGCCGCCAUCUCCAUAGCCCUCCCCACGCCGCCGUGCCGCCCGCCUCACCUCACCGCUGAGCCGCCCUCCCCAUGCCCCGCCUUGCUCCCCUCUGCCCUACUCCUCCCCCAAACCGCAUCUUCUCCCCGACUCUCCCAAGCUCCCAACAACUGCAUCGGCACUUCGUCACCGCGCGCCGCUGGUUUCUCCGCCGCCGCCCACCCCAGUUCCUAGCCAACGUCGUCGCCGACAUCGUGCGCACUCCAACCGUUGUCUCCCCCGCUUGUGCAUGCCUCGCCGCCGAUCCCGCCUACACACGUCGCUGUCGACGGGGGAUACCCGUAGACCGGAGUAUUGGGGUCCGUUGGUACGAGGAUCUACGUAGGACGACAUCAAGCAAACAAAAUACAAGGAUUAUACUGGUUCAGGCCCCUUGGUAGGUAAUAGCCCUAAUCCAGUUGGUAUGGGAUUAUAUGAUGGAAACCACAUAUUACAAAGGGAAUAACAGAACUCAAUGAUACCGACGAGACCGUAGUCGAGUUGGUCCGACUAGAUCUCCCGGCGACUUGGCUCCUGCAUGCUCCGGCUCUGUAGGCUAUGGUGGGUGUGUUGGCGAUGAUAUUUGGUGCCUUAGGUCUUGCCCAGAGGGUCCCUUAUAUACCGCGGGUCCGUUGAUCUCCAAGUAGAACUCGGAGAUAUCGGACCCCUCACGAUAUGGUAAAGACCCAGUCUUGUCCGAGUAGAACUCCUUCCAUCCGUAGAUAUCAUAUCUAUCACGUGAUAGAUUUCCUUAAUGUAUACGGAAACUAUCCGUAUACGCGCGGGUAUACCGUAUCAGUAUACAACGUACAUCCAAGGAUAGAGGGUAUACCUUAUCCGUAACCCUGACAGUAGCCCCCGACUUCUGCUUAAAUGAGCUCAUGCUAUCGAUCGCGACUUCUGAUGUCGGAAUUGUUAUCGCUCUCAUCCGGUCGAUCUCGGUGUGAAAACCGUAGAGACAAAGAGCCAUCGACAACACCGCGUGAAGUUCAACGGUCAUGAGUGAAUUUAAAUUGAAGUCUGAAAAACUACCACAUGCAACGGACCCAAAAUUUUCUGGCGGCAAUCUCUCUCCUUUCCUUGGAAUACGCACCAUUGGAAGUGCGUUUAUUUAAAGGGAUUUUGGGGAUCCAUUUGAAGUCCGUUUGCCAGAAAACUCUCCUGCCUUCUAGCGCUCUUCGUCUUCUCCGCUCCUCGCAAAGAAAACCCUAGCUCACUUCCUUCAUCCUGUUCUCCGGCGAUCCUCCGGCGGCAAUGGACCUUGAGAAGUCUUCCUCGAACACCGUGUCCAUGAAGAAGCUGCAGGACGACGGUGCCCUCCCCGGCCACGGGACCAUGCAGAGGGAGGCUGGAGAUACAAAACCUGAACCCAUCUUGGGCCGCAUGGUUGUAGUCGAAGAUUAUGUUUCUUGCGGUUUACUUCCUCCGCCUUCCGAGUUUCUUCUUCUUGUCUUGAAUUUCUACGGCCUUUCUUUGCUUCACUUGAAACCCAACUCCAUCGCUUUUCUGGGCAUCUUCCCUCGUCUUUGCAAGGCCUACAUUUGGGGUAGUGCCCUUCCUUGACCUCUUCCGUUUUUAUUACGAGCUGCGUUGGAUGGAAUCCAACAGGGUAUCUGGAUACGUCGGGUUCCGACUUCGGGAUGGCCUGAAGUCGCGUUACAUCCCCUUCCAGUGCCCCUCUUCUCGCAGCAAGUGGCGGACGAGAUGGUUCUAUCUCCAGAUAGAGAACUCGGACCCCGCCCUAGUUAUUCCUGAGGACCAGCCAGAAAAGAUCCCAGAGUGGACUGCUAAACAUGCCCUCACCCUCCUCACCUCUGCAUCCGCUUUUGUCGCCCCUCUCCCUCUUGUAUCCGUUAACUACAAAAUUGAUUUCGAUUUGAUUGCUCCUAAACGUUACUCCCUCGCGCGCCAUAAAAUCCCACCUACAGGACAAGACAGAAACAUACAUCUGAAGCUCUGCUCUGUACCUCCUCUCGUUGGUUCCUCUCCGUUAUGUUCCUGUGCUAGCUUCUGCCUCUCUGGUUCUGAUCAUCUGUGCGUACGGGUGCUCGGGGCGAGAAGGCCUCCCUUUUUGUUUUGUUCCUGCGCUAGCUUCUGCUUCCCCUGUUCUGAUCACCUGCGCACACGGGUGCUCAGGAUGAGCAAGCCUCUGAAACUCCACUCGCUUGUGUACCUGUACGGGUAGGGGGGUGAUCAAGUUUUUGGGUAGUGCUUUUGCGCGCUUUCUCUUGGCUGCAACAACUACUUCCUGCAACGCCACUCGCCACUGCAUCCUCUUCGACAAUGCUCUGCACUGCGACAUCUUCUUCCUCUACAUCAAUUUCCAGCAUGUCGACCGGAGGAGGCAUCAACGGAGGAUGGACUAGAGGAGAUGAGAACGACAACACCAACGGAGGCAACAACACCGACAAAGCCUCAUUCAGUACCAGAGCGUUCUCCGGGUAUGUGAUGUUCUUCAUAUUUGUGUUAUACAUGGUUUUUGAUGAUGCUUUUCUAGCUAUUAGCAUGUUCAUGUUUAUCACUAGUAUUAGAUCCUCCAACUAUGCAAAUGUCAUGUUUAGUAUAAUAUUCUUCUGGAUUAAAAUAUGUCGAAUAACAUCCAUAUUUCCAACAGCAGAUAAACUAAUAAAUCUAAAUCAACUUCAGUGUCAGAAAACGAUGAGGAGGUGCAGGUAGAGCCAUCCUCUUUGUUCAUCUAAUCAUCUUGUGCUUCUUCUGUCCAGUCCACACGCCUUCUGCAUUUCCAUCAUCAUCGACCAUGUCAGACCUUGUUCUGCAACAUCUCUUCCAUCAAGUCAAGCCCUAAUAAUUCAGAUUAGUUUCAGGUUCUUCUGGGGAGAUGUUUACCUGUAUGAUGUAUUGCUGUGUACUUGUAAAAACGAUGCAAUGUAAAUCUGUGGUAAAGUUAUGUUCGAUUUCACUCGAAACAAACAAACAAAAAAGUUCGGUUAGUGAUACUAUCAGUUGCAAAAUUGACCCCGUUUGUCCAAAUUAGACAUGAAGGAAAGGAAAGGAAAGGAGGUCGUCUGCAGAUCGGGGGCUCACCUCGGAUUAUCUCAGGUUUGCCGGCGAGCGGAGUCGAACUCGAUCGAACCCUAGACUGAUGAUGAAUUGAUGAGUGAGGAAGAAGAGGGGGGGAGGGAAAUCCACAGCUGCAAGCCUGCCUUUAAUUCGGAUCUGAUCGGGCUCGCCGACAUGCGCGCCCAAACUGUUACUACUACUUCAAUUUGCGUUUACCUGAAACUAAUUUUUGAAA
Oryza sativa Japonica Group (Japanese rice) is the source of this 4076-nucleotide non-coding RNA. The record is from RefSeq and is a predicted model, not a curated record. NCBI's taxonomy places the organism in Eukaryota, Viridiplantae, Streptophyta, Magnoliopsida, Poales, Poaceae.